CCAACUGGGAUUACCUUAGUAACGGCGAGUGAAGCGGUAAAAGCUCAAAUUUGAAAUCUGGUACUUUCAGUGCCCGAGUUGUAAUUUGUAGAAUUUGUCUUUGAUUAGGUCCUUGUCUAUGUUCCUUGGAACAGGACGUCAUAGAGGGUGAGAAUCCCGUUUGGCGAGGAUACCUUUUCUCUGUAAGACUUUUUCGAAGAGUCGAGUUGUUUGGGAAUGCAGCUCAAAGUGGGUGGUAAAUUCCAUCUAAAGCUAAAUAUUGGCGAGAGACCGAUAGCGAACAAGUACAGUGAUGGAAAGAUGAAAAGAACUUUGAAAAGAGAGUGAAAAAGUACGUGAAAUUGUUGAAAGGGAAGGGCAUUUGAUCAGACAUGGUGUUUUUUGCAUGCACUCGCCUCUCGUGGGCUUGGGCCUCUCAAAAAUUUCACUGGGCCAACAUCAAUUCUGGCAGUAGGAUAAAUCAUUAAGAAUGUAGCUACCUCGGUAGUGUUAUAGCUUAUUGGAAUACUGCUAGCUGGGAUUGAGGACUGCGCUUCGGCAAGGAUGUUGGCA
This 552-nucleotide ribosomal RNA is filed under the name Hanseniaspora sp. 2 HMD-2015. Its description in RNAcentral is "eukaryotic LSU rRNA". It matches the Rfam family "Eukaryotic large subunit ribosomal RNA", at positions 65 to 631 of the family's 3401-position model. The record is from RNAcentral. Lineage: Eukaryota; Fungi; Ascomycota; Saccharomycetes; Saccharomycodales; Saccharomycodaceae.